CCUACGGGUGGCUGCAGUGGGGAAUAUUGCACAAUGGGGGGAACCCUGAUGCAGCGACGCCGCGUGAGUGAAGAAGUAUUUCAGUAUGUAAAGCUCUAUCAGCAGGGAAGAAAAUGACGGUACCUGACUAAGAAGCCCCGGCUAACUACGUGCCAGCAGCCGCGGUAAUACGUAGGGGGCAAGCGUUAUCCGGAUUUACUGGGUGUAAAGGGAGCGCAGACGGCUGUGCAAGUCUGGAGUGAAAGGCGGGGGCGCAACCCCCGGACUGCUCUGGAAACUGUAAAGCUGGAGUGCAGGAGAGGUAAGCGGAAUUCCUAGUGUAGCGGUGAAAUGCAUAGAUAUUAGGAGGAACACCAGUGGCGAAGGCGGCUUACUGGACUGCAACUGACGUUGAGGCUCGAAAGCGUGGGGAGCAAACAGGAUUAGAUACCCCUGUAGUC
RNAcentral lists this ribosomal RNA (440 nucleotides) under uncultured bacterium. RNAcentral describes it as "partial 16S ribosomal RNA". It matches the Rfam family "Bacterial small subunit ribosomal RNA", at positions 338 to 795 of the family's 1533-position model. The record is from RNAcentral.